This 480-nucleotide ribosomal RNA is filed under the name uncultured soil bacterium. RNAcentral describes it as "bacterial SSU rRNA". It matches the Rfam family "Bacterial small subunit ribosomal RNA", at positions 26 to 490 of the family's 1533-position model. The record is from RNAcentral.
AGAGUGAACGCUGGCGGUAGGCCUAACACAUGCAAGUCGAACGGCAGCACAGGAGAGCUUGCUCUCUGGGUGGCGAGUGGCGGACGGGUGAGGAAUACAUCGGAAUCUACCUUUUCGUGGGGGAUAACGUAGGGAAACUUACGCUAAUACCGCAUAAGACCUUCGGGUGAAAGCCGGGGACCUUCGGGCCUGGCGCGGAUAGAUGAGCCGAUGUCGGAUUAGCUUGGUUGGCGGGGUAAAAGCCCACCAAGGCGACGAUCCGUAGCUGGUCUGAGAGGAUGAUCAGCCACACUGGAACUGAGACACGGUCCAGACUCCUACGGGAGCAGCAGUGGGGAAUAUGGACAAUGGGCGCAAGCCUGACUCCAGCCAUACCGCGUGGGUGAAGAAGGCCGUUCGGUGUAACGUCCUUUUGUAGGUAAAGAAUCCGUAGUCCGGUUAAUAACCGUAGUAGGAGUAGACCGGUAACCGAAAGAAUAA